Coturnix japonica (Japanese quail) is the source of this 1560-nucleotide long non-coding RNA. The record is from Ensembl. Lineage: Eukaryota; Metazoa; Chordata; Aves; Galliformes; Phasianidae.
UAGAGUUUGUGUGCAAUCCUUCUGUAAGAGUGAUGAAUAAUGUCUUUGUUUCUCCUUAGUUGAAGAAGAUGUAUGAAGUAUAUAUGGAAAAGUAUGCAUCCUACAGUAGCAUUUGUAUUAAAGGACCGCUUUGUGGGAGGAUUAACUCUGAUGGAGGACAGUCACUAAUAUUCUUCAUGGCAGAGUACGGCCUUCUGCAUCCCUGGGAAAUACCAUGUGAGAUAUCCCCCUGCACACCAGCCUUUAAAAGGGAAUUUUGCAGUGUCACAGUAGCUGCGGGCAGAUCUUUCCCAGCUUUGGUAGCCAUAACUGAGACUCAGGAGUUUAUGCUCCUGAGCACUCUCCUACAGAAUGAGCUACGUGCUUCCUGGGUAAGAAGUAACUGCUUGCAGUUAUGAUUUGUAGAUGGCCCAAGUUUCCCUAAAAUAGCUUUGUUACCACUUAUAUUUGGCCAGGGUGAAGCAGAGGAGUAAAAUAUAUACUCAUCCCUUGUGUGCACUGAGCAAAACAAGCUGCGUUUAGUCACAAGUUCACCAGAUGCUACUCUGGAGGUUAUUGCUGCUAUAUUACAUUACUGCGAUGUAUUAGACAAGGUGCCGUAAUUCAUUCUUUUUCCUCAUUGCUUUAGGAUGCUCCUUCUCUCUUUCAAAGGAAGCACAGCUGUCUAUGCUGCUUGUGACCCUCGAGACCAACGUAGGCUCCUUGUUGGUGCAUGUAGGUCUCCCUCCAGCAGUGAGGAAGGCCAGCCAAAUAACAGCACCAAACACUGCAGAGAGUCCGGGCUUGCAUUAAUCUCUGUGGCCAGAAAGCAAAUGCUUAAGCAGCUCUACUUUCUGACCAGUUUUGUAACUUAAUUUUCUUUUCAAUCCUGACUGCCUUCUCCCAUCCCCUGUACUUUUAUCCCACUUAUUUCACCUUCUCAUUGGGCCCUUCUCGGCCUCUCAGUUGGACUGGUGUGACCUUCUGAGCUGGGAAGCGGCAGUCUUUAAGCAUAGAACAAAGUUUGUGCUAUACUUUCUGAGCCUGAGAACUACAAGAAUACCACAGAGAGGUAUUGUUUUCCUCCUCUUCUGCUACUCUGUAGGUUGGAACACUUAGUUGAGUGAAUUAUGUGCUAAUCGACAUCUAACAACUCAUAUUGGAUUGAAGCCACAUAUGCAUACAGGGCAUAGGUGCUCCUGUUGGUCAGCUGGACUGUCCCUGGGACCAUCUGGCACCCCUCUUUGGCCUCCCUAUCUCUGCCAUUAUGUUUACUGACCAGCUGCUUUUCCUUCUUGCCAUUGACAAAGGUUCCUAAGCCACAGUUUCCCCUUGCUUCCAAAGGAGACAAAGGAGAAAUGCUACAGCCUUUCACUGUCUUAGAGUGGUCCUGAGUUUCUGGUGCCCUGAGGCCCCAGCCCUGGUUCACAGAUUGCUUUCUCCUCUUCAACGCUGUUCUCACAGUAAAUAGGACAUUGACUUUAGCUACCCCAGUGAAUUAUUGCUCACCUGGCCACAAGCCCAGGGUAAUCUAUUCCACUUCCACAAAUUAAUAAAUUCAUAAGCAAUACAAGAGUGACA